Molecule: ribosomal RNA, 509 nt
Filed under: Chrysoperla carnea
Lineage: Eukaryota; Metazoa; Arthropoda; Insecta; Neuroptera; Chrysopidae
Description: partial 16S ribosomal RNA
Rfam family: Bacterial large subunit ribosomal RNA
Source: RNAcentral
UUUUUGUUAAAAAUAUAAAGUCUAACCUGCCCACUGAUAAUUAUUAAAGGGCCGCGGUAUUUUGACUGUGCAAAGGUAGCAUAAUCAUUUGUCUCUUAAUUGGAGGCUGGAAUGAAUGGUUGAAUGAAAUAUUAACUGUCUCAUUUUUAAAAUUUUAAAAACUUAGCUUUUAAGUCAAAAGGCUUAAAUGAAUUUAGAGGACGAGAAGACCCUAUAGAUCUUUAUAAUUUAUUUAAUUUUAUAAAAUAGAAAAAUAAUUAAUAAAAUUAAUAUAAUUAUUUUAUUGGGGUGAUAGGAAAAUUUAAUAAACUUUUUUUAUUAAUUAACAUUGAUUUAUGAUUAAUUGAUCCAUUUUUAGUGAUUAUAAGAUUAAGUUACCUUAGGGAUAACAGCGUAAUUUUUUUAGAGAGUUCUUAUCGAUAAAAAAGAUUGCGACCUCGAUGUUGAAUUAAAGGUUAUUUCUAGAUGUAGCAGUUUAGAGUUUAGGUCUGUUCGACCUUUGAAUCUUU